UACGUAGGGUGCGAGCGUUAAUCGGAAUUACUGGGCGUAAAGCGUGCGCAGGCGGUUUUGUAAGCCAGAUGUGAAAUCCCCGGGCUUAACCUGGGAAUGGCAUUUGGGACUGCAAGGCUGGAGUGCGGCAGAGGAGACUGGAAUUCCUGGUGUAGCAGUGAAAUGCGUAGAUAUCGGGAGGAACACCAGUGGCGAAAGCGGCCGGCUGGGCCCAACCUGACGCUGAGGCGCGAAAGCGUGGGGAGCGAACCGG
Molecule: ribosomal RNA, 253 nt
Filed under: uncultured bacterium
Lineage: Bacteria
Description: partial 16S ribosomal RNA
Rfam family: Bacterial small subunit ribosomal RNA
Source: RNAcentral